UGGGGAAUAUUGCGCAAUGGGCGAAAGCCUGACGCAGCGACGCCGCGUGGGGGAUGACGGCCUUCGGGUUGUAAACCUCUUUCGACCGGGACGAAGCGUAAGUGACGGUACCGGUAUAAGAAGCACCGGCCAACUACGUGCCAGCAGCCGCGGUAAUACGUAGGGUGCGAGCGUUGUCCGGAAUUAUUGGGCGUAAAGAGCUCGUAGGCGGUGUGUCACGUCGAUCGUGAAAACUUACAGCUUAACUGUGAGCGUGCGGUCGAUACGGGCAUCACUGGAGUUCGGCAGGGGAGACUGGAAUUCCUGGUGUAGCGGUGAAAUGCGCAGAUAUCAGGAGGAACACCGGUGGCGAAGGCGGGUCUCUGGGCCGAUACUGACGCUGAGGAGCGAAAGCGUGGGGAGCGAACA
RNAcentral lists this ribosomal RNA (408 nucleotides) under uncultured Pseudonocardia sp. RNAcentral describes it as "bacterial SSU rRNA". It matches the Rfam family "Bacterial small subunit ribosomal RNA", at positions 355 to 774 of the family's 1533-position model. Lineage: Bacteria; Bacillati; Actinomycetota; Actinomycetes; Pseudonocardiales; Pseudonocardiaceae. The record is from RNAcentral.